CUUGAGAGCGGCGGACGGGUGAGUAAAGCCUAGGAAUCUGCCUGGUAGUGGGGGAUAACGUUCGGAAACGGACGCUAAUACCGCAUACGUCCUACGGGAGAAAGCAGGGGACCUUCGGGCCUUGCGCUAUCAGAUGAGCCUAGGUCGGAUUAGCUAGUUGGUGAGGUAAUGGCUCACCAAGGCGACGAUCCGUAACUGGUCUGAGAGGAUGAUCAGUCACACUGGAACUGAGACACGGUCCAGACUCCUACGGGAGGCAGCAGUGGGGAAUAUUGGACAAUGGGCGAAAGCCUGAUCCAGCCAUGCCGCGUGUGUGAAGAAGGUCUUCGGAUUGUAAAGCACUUUAAGUUGGGAGGAAGGGCAGUUACCUAAUACGUGAUUGUUUUGACGUUACCGACAGAAUAAGCACCGGCUAACUCUGUGCCA
RNAcentral lists this ribosomal RNA (426 nucleotides) under Pseudomonas sp. R2.m. RNAcentral's name for it is "bacterial SSU rRNA". It matches the Rfam family "Bacterial small subunit ribosomal RNA", at positions 88 to 510 of the family's 1533-position model. Lineage: Bacteria; Pseudomonadati; Pseudomonadota; Gammaproteobacteria; Pseudomonadales; Pseudomonadaceae. The record is from RNAcentral.